RNAcentral lists this long non-coding RNA (217 nucleotides) under Carica papaya (papaya). RNAcentral's name for it is "long non-coding RNA (CPAP_LNC009155)". The record is from RNAcentral. Lineage: Eukaryota; Viridiplantae; Streptophyta; Magnoliopsida; Brassicales; Caricaceae.
UUUUUGCUGAAUAUGAUAGAAGACUUUUGUAUUUUCAAUUUCUAACCUAACUAGCCACUUGAUUGUUCCAUACUCUUCAUAAUUUCUUAUAGUUUCUUUUGAUUGCAAUGACAAAAGAUGAUUAAAUUAUCUAGAAAUGAAAGAUGGGUUACUGAAGUUACAUUUCUAUCGACCUUAAUUCAUAUGCUAGACUAUUGCUCUAGGAUCUAUUGGCAAG